GGUGAAGAACGUAGCGAAAUGCGAUAAGUAAUGUGAAUUGCAGAAUUCAGUGAAUCAUCGAAUCUUUGAACGCACAUUGCGCCCGCCAGUAUUCUGGCGGGCAUGCCUGUUCGAGCGUCAUUUCAACCAUCAAGCCCCCGGCUUGUGUUGGGGACCUGCGGCUGCCGCAGGCCCUGAAAACCAGUGGCGGGCUCGCUAGUCACUCCGAGCGUAGUAAUACAUCUCGCUCAGGGCGUGCUGCGGGUUCCGGCCGUUAAAAAGCCUUAUUUACCCAAGGUUGACCUCGGAUCAGGUAGGAAGACCCGCUGAACUUAAGCAUAUCAAUAAGCGGAGGA
This 335-nucleotide unclassified non-coding RNA is filed under the name soil metagenome. RNAcentral describes it as "partial contains 5.8S ribosomal RNA, internal transcribed spacer 2, and large subunit ribosomal RNA". The stretch from base 3 to 120 matches the Rfam family "5.8S ribosomal RNA", at positions 37 to 154 of the family's 154-position model. The record is from RNAcentral.